This 114-nucleotide ribosomal RNA is filed under the name Verticillium dahliae. RNAcentral describes it as "partial 5.8S ribosomal RNA". It matches the Rfam family "5.8S ribosomal RNA", at positions 1 to 113 of the family's 154-position model. From Rfam's summary of the family: 5.8S ribosomal RNA (5.8S rRNA) is a component of the large subunit of the eukaryotic ribosome. Lineage: Eukaryota; Fungi; Ascomycota; Sordariomycetes; Glomerellales; Plectosphaerellaceae. The record is from RNAcentral.
AAACUUUUAACAACGGAUCUCUUGGCUCUAGCAUCGAUGAAGAACGCAGCGAAACGCGAUAUGUAGUGUGAAUUGCAGAAUUCAGUGAAUCAUCGAAUCUUUGAACGCACAUGG